AGAGUUUGAUCAUGGCUCAGAGCGAACGCUGGCGGCAGGCUUAACACAUGCAAGUCUAACGGACGCAGCAAUGCGUCAGUGGCAGACGGGUGAGUAACACGUGGGAACGUGCCCUUCGGUUCGGAACAACCCAGGGAAACUUGGGCUAAUACCGGAUACGUCCGCAAGGAGAAAGAUUUAUCGCCGAAGGAUCGGCCCGCGUCUGAUUAGCUUGUUGGUGAGGUAACGGCUCACCAAGGCGACGAUCAGUAGCUGGUCUGAGAGGAUGAUCAGCCACACUGGGACUGAGACACGGCCCAGACUCCUACGGGAGGCAGCAGUGGGGAAUAUUGGACAAUGGGCGCAAGCCUGAUCCAGCAUGCCGCGUGGGUGAUGAAGGCCUUAGGGUUGUAAAGCCCUUUCGGCGGGGAAGAUAAUGACGGUACCCGCAGAAGAAGCCCCGGCUAACUUCGUGCCAGCAGCCGCGGUAAUACGAAGGGGGUUAGCGUUGCUCGGAAUCACUGGGCGUAAAGCGCACGUAGGCGGAUUGCUAAGUCAGGGGUGAAAUCCUGGAGCUCAACUCCAGAACUGCCCUUGAUACUGGCGACCUUGAGUCCGGGAGAGGUGAGUGGAACUGCGAGUGUAGAGGUGAAAUUCGUAGAUAUUCGCAAGAACACCAGUGGCGAAGGCGGCUCACUGGCCCGGUACUGACGCUGAGGUGCGAAAGCGUGGGGAGCAAACAGGAUUAGAUACCCUAGUAGUCC
Molecule: ribosomal RNA, 743 nt
Filed under: uncultured bacterium
Lineage: Bacteria
Description: bacterial SSU rRNA
Rfam family: Bacterial small subunit ribosomal RNA
Source: RNAcentral